Molecule: non-coding RNA, 425 nt
Organism: Pelobates cultripes (western spadefoot toad)
Lineage: Eukaryota; Metazoa; Chordata; Amphibia; Anura; Pelobatidae
Source: the annotation of a GenBank genome assembly
GUCUAGUUGAGAGGAGAGGGUGGAAUUAUAGAAAGAGGUUGCAGAGAUAGGACAGGUGAGGUUUGAGAUAGGUAAAAGGAGAGUUUGGAGAUUAGUGGAGAAAUGCUCUAGGUCAGGGCUGUCCAACCUGCGGCCCCAAGAUGUUGCUGAACUACAACUCCCAUGAUUCCCUGGCUAUCUGUUUCAUUGAAAGAAUCAUGGGAGUUGUAGUUCAGCAAAAUCUGGGGGGCCGCAGGUUGGACAGGCCUGCUCUAGGUCAAGACAUUGGAGGUUUCUGUGAGAUUGAUGUUCAGACAGUGGUGUCAAUUGAGUCUUAGGUAUGCCGAUGUCAAAUGUCAGCAGAUAGUGGUCAGAUAGAGGAAAAGUAAUAUUGGAGAUUUUAGAGGCGGUACAGAGCUUGGUGAAGGCGAGAUAAAGAGUGUUUC